RNAcentral lists this ribosomal RNA (253 nucleotides) under uncultured bacterium. RNAcentral describes it as "partial 16S ribosomal RNA". It matches the Rfam family "Bacterial small subunit ribosomal RNA", at positions 524 to 776 of the family's 1533-position model. The record is from RNAcentral.
UACGGAGGGUGCAAGCGUUAUCCGGAUUCACUGGGUUUAAAGGGUGCGUAGGUGGAUUUAUAAGUCAGUGGUGAAAGCCCCGAGCUCAACUUGGGAAUUGCCAUUGAUACUGUAGAUCUUGAGUGCGGUUGAGGUAGGCGGAAUGUUACAUGUAGCGGUGAAAUGCUUAGAUAUGUAACAGAAACCCAUUUGCGAAGGCGGCUUACCAAGCCGAUACUGACACUGAGGCACGAAAGCGUGGGGAUCAAACAGG